RNAcentral lists this ribosomal RNA (489 nucleotides) under Triticum aestivum (bread wheat). RNAcentral describes it as "partial small subunit ribosomal RNA". Lineage: Eukaryota; Viridiplantae; Streptophyta; Magnoliopsida; Poales; Poaceae. The record is from RNAcentral.
AUGGCGGCGCUCCGGCACGCGGGGAGGAGGCUCUGCGAGCGGGCGCUCCAGCGAGGUGGACCGCAGGUGAUCCCGUCUGGCCGCCGGUCCAUGUUCAUCUCCAUCGGUGGCACGCCUAAACCUACGACUGCGGCGGCUCAGGAGGAGCUGAAAAUGCAGUUCCAGAAAAAGAAAGAAGAGUUGUUCGAUGUGCUGGUGGAGUUGUCAAGGACACGCACGUACCCAAGUCUCUCCUGGGAGGCCUUCCAGGUUAAUCAGCUCGCCGCUCGACUUGUUGGGAAGGUGGAGCCUAGGCCUGGUGACUACUACUGGCGCAGUUAUCGACUACAAGGCAGACUCAACACCUUCUUGGUUUCAUACUUGUUUCUGCAUUUUGUAUAUAUGGAACACUUCUGGAUACCCAAGAAGCAGAGAGAAGAUGGCGCCACAAGCAACAACAGUGAAGCCAAGGUCCUUCCCGACAGCGACGAGAACCAAAUAAGGACAUGA